Molecule: non-coding RNA, 216 nt
Organism: Pelobates cultripes (western spadefoot toad)
Lineage: Eukaryota; Metazoa; Chordata; Amphibia; Anura; Pelobatidae
Source: the annotation of a GenBank genome assembly
AUUUUACUUCAAAUGAAACAAAUACAAUGGUAUUCUUACGGAGAGCUUCACAAAUUACAGAACAGAAGGCAUAACAAUAAGAAUUACAUUUCAAUAGGAAGCCAUCAACAUAAUAUAAUAAAUCAUAAUAAAUAAUAUAUACAACAUAACAUAAUAAUCAAACCCUUGACUGUCAGAGUAAUUUACUAAAGUGAACUUUAAAUUCAAGGAAACUGG